UACAGCCCCACAUCUCCCAGUUAUAGCCCAACAUCUCCAAGUUAUAGUCCUACUUCUCCCAGUUAUAGUCCGACCUCUCCGAGUUAUAGCCCCACCUCCCCAGCAUACAGCCCGACCUCCCCAGCAUACAGCCCGACCUCCCCAUCUUAUAGCCCCACAUCACCUUCUUACAGCCCUACCUCACCUUCUUAUAGCCCUACCUCACCUUCUUAUAGCCCAACCUCACCCUCUUACAGUCCAACCUCUCCAUCAUACAGUCCCACAUCACCUGCAUAUAGUCCAACUUCUCCGGGUUACAGCCCCACCUCCCCAAGUUAUAGCCCUACCUCACCGAGCUAUAGUCCCACGUCUCCUAGCUACAAUCCCUCGGCAAGGUACAG
RNAcentral lists this long non-coding RNA (380 nucleotides) under Coffea arabica (coffee). Its description in RNAcentral is "long non-coding RNA (CARA_LNC004911)". Lineage: Eukaryota; Viridiplantae; Streptophyta; Magnoliopsida; Gentianales; Rubiaceae. The record is from RNAcentral.